AUGGCAUCAUCUUCGGACCCAUGGAUGAAAGAGUACACUGAAGCAUCUAAGCUUGUUGAUGAUAUAAGUUCCAUGAUUGCCGAUAGAAGUUCACUUCCACAAUCAGGCCCCGAAAUUAUGCGCCACACAUCAGCCAUCCGGAGAAAAAUAACCAUUCUUGGGACUAGACUGGAUAGCUUGGUGACAUUGUUGUCCAGGAUUCCGCCAAAGUCACUCACUGACAAGGAGAUGCAUAAGCGCCAAGAUGCACUUUCCAACUUGAAAUCUAAAGCAAAACAGAUGGGGACAAGUUUCAACGUGUCAAACUUUGCCAACAGGGAGGAUUUGCUUGGUCAGAGUAAGAAAGCUGCUGAUGAUAUGAGCAGAGUUGCUGGGUUAGACAACCAAGGAAUUGUUGGCCUUCAGAGGCAAGUUAUGAGAGAACAAGAUGAGGGUCUCGAAAGGCUGGAGGAGACAGUCCUGAGCACAAAACAUAUUGCAUUAGCAGUCAAUGAAGAACUUACUCUGCAUACAAGAUUGAUUGAUGACUUGGAAGAUCAUGUCGACGUUACAAACUCCCGUCUUCAGCGUGUGCAAAAGAGGCUUGCAAUUCUGAACAAGCGCGCCAAAGGUGGCUGCUCAUGCAUGUGCCUAAUGCUCUCUGUUGCUGCCAUAGUGCUGCUCGCGGUUAUCGUUUGGCUUCUCAUCAAGUACCUGUAA
Molecule: ribosomal RNA, 699 nt
Filed under: Triticum aestivum (bread wheat)
Lineage: Eukaryota; Viridiplantae; Streptophyta; Magnoliopsida; Poales; Poaceae
Description: partial small subunit ribosomal RNA
Source: RNAcentral